RNAcentral lists this transfer RNA (103 nucleotides) under Brevundimonas vesicularis. RNAcentral's name for it is "tRNA-Val". The record is from RNAcentral. Lineage: Bacteria; Pseudomonadati; Pseudomonadota; Alphaproteobacteria; Caulobacterales; Caulobacteraceae.
GGAAAGUAGCGAAGACCCAAUCCAAGCGGUAAGGGCCUUUCAGGCGGAACACGCUUCGUUCACACCGAGGGGGUCACAGGUUCAAUCCCUGUCGCGUCCACCA